UACGGAGGGGGCUAGCGUUGUUCGGAAUUACUGGGCGUAAAGCGCACGUAGGCGGAUUUGUAAGUCAGGGGUGAAAUCCCGGGGCUCAACCCCGGAACUGCCUUUGAUACUGCGAAUCUCGAGUCCGGAAGAGGUGAGUGGAAUUCCUAGUGUAGAGGUGAAAUUCGUAGAUAUUAGGAAGAACACCAGUGGCGAAGGCGGCUCACUGGUCCGGUACUGACGCUGAGGUGCGAAAGCGUGGGGAGCAACAGG
RNAcentral lists this ribosomal RNA (252 nucleotides) under uncultured bacterium. RNAcentral describes it as "partial 16S ribosomal RNA". It matches the Rfam family "Bacterial small subunit ribosomal RNA", at positions 524 to 775 of the family's 1533-position model. The record is from RNAcentral.